ACGAGCGCAGUGACGGGAGACUGUCACGCUGCGUUCUGUGGGGGCCCGGGGGUGAGAUCCCCCCGGGCUACCCGGC
RNAcentral lists this non-coding RNA (76 nucleotides) under Frankia casuarinae. The record is from RNAcentral. Lineage: Bacteria; Bacillati; Actinomycetota; Actinomycetes; Frankiales; Frankiaceae. RNAcentral also lists the same sequence under 1 other name.